UUUUGUUUUUAGAAAAAUAGAAAAGCGUUUAUGAAAGUAAUUGUACUUGUACAUCAUGUUAAAAAUGUAACCGUUUAUCACCGAAAGGAAAACGCGUAGGGGGGAGGGGGAGCAGGGGAGAAAAGACCAGUCAAAGAUGAUCUCAAGAAGAAAUCAAGAUUCUCAAUGACGAUAUCAACAACAAAUCAAGAAAACAAACAAGGAGAUAGAAGAAGAGAGAGAUGGUGUUGAACAGCACACUGAUAGGGAGAGUAGCGGUGGUAUCCGCAGAUUUGUGCCAAUACGUUGCUUGCAAUCCGGAGAGACUCAGCCCCGAGCAUGUUCUCCAUCUCCUCUUUUGUUUUCCUUUUCAGCAGUUACGUCGAUUAGCGCUCUGUAUCUCCGCCUUCUUCUGCUCCCCUUCCUACCCCGACGAUUCCGAUUCUCAUUCCGACUAGCAUCCUUUUUGUUUUUUGUUGUGGAGAUUCUUGUAAAUCUGGAUUCGUGAUGAUGAGUGAGAUUUGAAAUUUCGUGAAUUGAGGAUAUUGAUUUGUUUUCAUGCUUUCGAUUUGCUUGGAUUUGAUCUGAUAUGUUGCGUUUGGUUGAACUUGAAGAACUAGUUAAUUCCAAAUCCAGAAAUGGAUCAAUAAUCCAUUGGGCCGUUUUAUUUGUCCUGCAUUUUCUUAGCUACCAAUCACUCUCAGAGGUGACUUUCAAUCUGAUUUAUCUUAACAAAGAAGGAUUGAACUAACAAUUUAACAUUCUUUGAAAAAAAAAAAAGACCGGAUAAUAAAUAUUUCUCUAAUUAGGUUUCCAAUUUAAAAUCGGAUGAUCAACCGAUCAGGCGGUCCAAAAACAACGAAAAACAGAAAAAGAAAAUAAAAGCAAAAAAAAAAAGGGGAUGACGAGGUUGUCUGUUACGUGUGUGAAUAUUAGUGGAUAUAUGUUGCUUGUCCAGUAUUCUAUCAACUAAACAUAGAAAAAAAGAGGAAAAGAGGAGUAGGUGAGAAGCAAGAUGAAGAGUGUGGUGGCACCAACGGCACUGUCAAUUUCCCUGAUACCCCGCGUAAAUGCCCGCAAAAUCCCCAAUUCAUCGCCUCCCUUUCCAAAUUUCUUUAGUCCCAAACCCUACUCUUUCUUCUCUUCUCCUCUUGUACGUCCUCUUUCCAUGGCGGCCUCCGCUGCUCAGACUGCGUCACCCGGGGAUGUCACCACUGAUGCCGAAGUCUUUCAACUGAUCAAAGAUCAUCAGGAAAAGGCUGCUCGGCUUCCUCCGCUUGAGGAAAUUAGAACUGUUAUUAAUCACAGUGUGCGAGGCAUGCUUUCGACUAUUUCUCAGAAGUAUGAGGGUUAUCCAUCAGGAUCGAUGGUCGACUUUGCAUGCGAUCAGGAUGGGUAUCCAAUAUUAGCAGUCAGUAGCCUGGCAAAUCAUACAAAGGACCUGUUAGCUAAUACCAAAUGCUCAUUGCUUGUAGCAAAGGAUCCUGAGGAUAAGACUGACCUUUUAAUUACUGUGCAUGGAGAUGCUGUUCCUGUCUCUGAAGAGGAUAAAGGGGAUAUUCGUACAGCAUACUUGACAAGGCAUCCCAAUGCAUUCUGGGUUGACUUUGGUGACUUCCAAUUUAUGCGUAUUGAACCAAAAGUAGUGCGUUAUGUGUCUGGGAUUGCAACAGCUCUCUUGGGAUCAGAAGAGUUUACUAAAGAGGCCUAUACAGCUGCAAAAGUUGAUCCAAUAGCUCAGUUUUCUAAGCCUGUGGCGUCUCACAUGAACAGAGAUCAUGCAGAAGAUACAAAGCUGAUUGUGCAACACGUGACAUCUAUUCUGGUGGACUCUGCUUACAUGCUGGAUUUGGAUAGUCUUGGUUUCUAUGUUAAGGCUACUUACCGAGGGAAUGCUUUCAAGCUCCGAAUUCCUUUCCCUAGACGUGCUGAGGAUAGAAAGGAUGUGAAGACUCUUGUGGUGGAAAUGCUUCAAGCUGCUAAGUCUCAAUCUAAUUAAUGCUCUAUUAAAAUGGAAUAAAGAGGUAGAAGGCAAUAGUUUGCUGUGGAGUUCUCUAAUUAUUCUGUCCAGUUGCAAAAGAAAAUUUAUGAGUUCCUUACAAAAGCCCUAUGAUUGCUCACAGUCAGUCUGCUAUUGAUUUGAUCAGAUAUUUUCCAUAUUACUCCCAAAACUAGGCCAACUUUUGUUGUUAUGGUACCCUCCAAGCCUCUAAGCAGUGUAGUCCUCCAAGAGUUGAACCAUAUACUCCUUGUAUCCUGUGGGAUUAGACAUGGAUCCUGCAUUGAACCAUAGAUCAUCUUUCUGGGAACAAAUGGAAACAAGUGAAAUCAGUGGCAAUUCUUUGGCUUUCUUUUCUUGUUUGCUCUUGCUUUGUCUCUAUCUAUUGUAAUUAAGGUCAGAAUGAAUAGCCAUGUUAUGUCAGACUGUUCAAUGUAAAAAGGUGCAUAAACAGUUUCUAGAACACAAAGUCAAUAGUGCAAAAAAUUUUAUUUUUGGUGGGAUACUGUACAAACUUUGCUAUGGAGGAGCUCAUUCGAAAUUGAAAUACACAGAUGAUGAUUAGAACUGGCCA
RNA transcript from Vitis vinifera (wine grape), 2552 nucleotides. RefSeq lists it as uncharacterized. The record is from RefSeq and is a predicted model, not a curated record. Lineage: Eukaryota; Viridiplantae; Streptophyta; Magnoliopsida; Vitales; Vitaceae. The transcript has 14 exons.